UGAGUCCUACGGGGGGCAGCAGUAGGGAAUCUUCCACAAUGGACGAAAGUCUGAUGGAGCAACGCCGCGUGAAGGAAGAAGGUCUUCGGAUUGUAAACUUAUUUUAUCAGGGAAGAAAAAAAUGACUGUACCUGAAGAAGAAGCACCGGCUAACUACGUGACAGCAGCCGCGGUAAUACGUAGGGUGCAAGCGUUAUCCGGAUUUACUGGGUGUAAAGGGCGAGUAGACGGCGUUGCAAGUAAGAUGUGAAAGGCUAGGGCUCAACCUUAGGAGAGCAUCUGAAACUGAA
RNAcentral lists this ribosomal RNA (290 nucleotides) under uncultured bacterium. RNAcentral's name for it is "partial 16S ribosomal RNA". It matches the Rfam family "Bacterial small subunit ribosomal RNA", at positions 333 to 637 of the family's 1533-position model. The record is from RNAcentral.